AUGGGUCGUCUGUCCGUGAAGGUCUUGGUGGUCGUCCUGCUGCUCCUUGCGGCCACAGAGGAGCAGGGGGGAUCGGUGCAGGUGGCUCUGGCGAGGGUGUGCACGAGGCCGAGCCACAAGUUCCAUUGGGCAUGCCUCGACACCAACAAAUGCGCGAGCGCCUGCCUGACCGAGGGCUACACCGGCGGCAAGUGCGGCGGCCGCCGCGGCCGCCGCUGCUUCUGCACCUGGCACUGCUAG
Molecule: ribosomal RNA, 240 nt
Filed under: Triticum aestivum (bread wheat)
Lineage: Eukaryota; Viridiplantae; Streptophyta; Magnoliopsida; Poales; Poaceae
Description: partial small subunit ribosomal RNA
Source: RNAcentral